RNAcentral lists this ribosomal RNA (1364 nucleotides) under Zaprionus indianus. RNAcentral describes it as "16S ribosomal RNA". The stretch from base 1077 to 1236 matches the Rfam family "Archaeal large subunit ribosomal RNA", at positions 2544 to 2703 of the family's 2987-position model. Lineage: Eukaryota; Metazoa; Arthropoda; Insecta; Diptera; Drosophilidae. The record is from RNAcentral.
GAUUAAAUUUUAUUUAUUAAUUUAUUUUAUUUAUAAAUUUAAUAUAUUAAAAAUAAUUAUAAAAGAUAAAGUUUUAGUAUUGUUUAAAGAAAAAAUAAAUUUAAUAAUAGUUUAAUAGUAUUGUAAAAGAAAAUUGAAAUAAUUUGAAAAAUUUUUAUUUUAAAAGAAAAUUUAAUUUAUUGUACCUUGUGUAUCAGCGUUUUUCAAAUAAAAAAUAAUUAAAUUAUUUUUCUCGAUUUUAAAAGAGUUAAUAUAAUAUAAAAGUUAAUGUAAUAAAAUUAUUUUUAAUAUUAUAUUAGAAAUGAAAUGUUAUUCGUUUUUAAAGGUAUCUAGUUUUUAAAGAAAUGAAUUUAAUUCAGAAAUUAUAAAUUUAUUUAAAAAAUUUUUUAGUUAAAUAAUUUAUAAUUUUAAUAUUUUAUGGGAUAAGCUAUAAAAUAAAUUUUUAAAAAUAUAAAUAAUAUAUUAAUAAAUAUAUGCUUAGAAUUAGCAAUUAUUUGAAAUUAUGUUAUAAUUUAUUUUAUAAUAAUUAUUAUUUAUUAAAUUUUAAUAAUUUAUUUAAAUAUUAAUUUUAAUUUUAAAAAUUAAGUAAUUAUGAAAAAAUUAGUAUAUUUUAUUGUAAAAAUAAAUUUAUUUGAAAAGUUUAAAUAAAGAAUUCGGCAAAAAUAAUGUUCGCCUGUUUAACAAAAACAUGUCUUUUUGAAUUAAAUUUAAAGUCUAACCUGCCCACUGAAUUAUUUUAAAUGGCCGCAGUAUCCUAACUGUGCAAAGGUAGCAUAAUCAUUAGUCUUUUAAUUGAAGGCUGGAAUGAAUGGUUGGACGAAAUAUUAACUGUUUCAUUUAAAUUUUUUAUAGAAUUUUAUUUUUUAGUCAAAAAGCUAAAAUAUAAUUAAAAGACGAGAAGACCCUAUAAAUCUUUAUAUUUUAUUUAUUUUAAUUAUAAAGAUUAUUUUUGUUAUAAUAAAUAAAAAUAUUUUAUUGGGGUGAUAUUAAAAUUUAAAAAACUUUUAAUUUUUAAAAACAUUAAUUUAUGAAUAAUUGAUCCAUUAAUAAUGAUUAAAAAAUUAAGUUACUUUAGGGAUAACAGCGUAAUUUUUUUGGAGAGUUCAUAUCGAUAAAAAAGAUUGCGACCUCGAUGUUGGAUUAAGAUAUAAUUUUGGGUGUAGCCGUUCAAAUUUUAAGUCUGUUCGACUUUUAAAUUCUUACAUGAUCUGAGUUCAAACCGGCGUAAGCCAGGUUGGUUUCUAUCUUUAAUAAAUUAUAAUAUUUUAGUACGAAAGGACCAAAUAUUAAAAUAAUUAUAUUUUUAGUUAAGAAUAUUAAUAAUUUAUAUAAACUAUUUUGGCAGAUUAGUGCAAUAAAUUUAG